UGAAGGCUGCGUUUUGAGGAGUACAGACAGAAACUCUAUCACUAGUUGGGCACUUAAGAAGAUGUCUUUAGAUUUCUCUGGAAGACUACGUCAAAACUUGUGGAAGACAUUUUUUUCAAGAGGGCCUGGAAAUGCCCAGAAGAAUCCCAUUCCACCACCUGCUUCCACCCAGAAGGAGAUGGAAUGGCAGUUCUGUCCAGGAGAACCUAUAGCGUUAGAGGACAAAGGAAACAUGCUUCAAAUGGACAGUAAAAUAUUUCCUUCUCCCAUAAAUAAAACUAUAGAGCGGCAGAUAUAAACUUCAAGGAGAGGAAGAACAGCAGUACAAGUUCAGAGAACAGCUGAUUCAAAUCAGCAUUUAGGAGAAUCAUAGGCACCCCAAGCUUAUUUAAGAUGUAAUUUUCCUCUGAUAGGAUAAAAGACUGUCACCAGUAAUGACUUCUCACCUGCUUCAACCUUAUUCCUCAGAAACUCAACAGAACUUUAACUAUAAACUAAUUCUCCAAUUACAGACAAAUAGGCUUUAGCAGAGGCCUCUUGUGAAACAUAAAUAAGAAGUGGAUACUGAAAGUGUGAAUGGAUAAAUUUAGGUAUCUCUUCGGCAUCAGGGAAAAAAAGUGUAAACUUCUGCUUUAGUGAUGAAGUGUAACAUUUUUAUGAAAAUUUCUCCCCUUCUCUGGAUUAAAUAUACA
This is a long non-coding RNA of Numida meleagris (helmeted guineafowl), 692 nucleotides long. RefSeq lists it as uncharacterized. The transcript is spliced from 3 exons. Lineage: Eukaryota; Metazoa; Chordata; Aves; Galliformes; Numididae. The record is from RefSeq and is a predicted model, not a curated record.